Molecule: ribosomal RNA, 253 nt
Filed under: uncultured bacterium
Lineage: Bacteria
Description: partial 16S ribosomal RNA
Rfam family: Bacterial small subunit ribosomal RNA
Source: RNAcentral
UACAUGGGGUGCAAACGUUGCUCGGAAUUAUUGGGCGUAAAGCGCGCGUAGGCGGUUACUUAAGUCGGAUGUGAAAGCCCUCGGCUUAACUGAGGAAGUGCACCCGAAACUGAGUAGCUAGAGUACGAAAGAGGGUCGCGGAAUUCCCGGUGUAGAGGUGAAAUUCGUAGAUAUCGGGAGGAACACUGGUGGCGAAGGCGGCGACCUGGGUCGAGACUGACGCUGAGGCGCGAAAGCGUGGGGAGCAAACAGG